This 653-nucleotide ribosomal RNA is filed under the name uncultured bacterium. RNAcentral's name for it is "bacterial SSU rRNA". It matches the Rfam family "Bacterial small subunit ribosomal RNA", at positions 93 to 740 of the family's 1533-position model. The record is from RNAcentral.
GCACGGCGCACGGGUGCGUAACACGUGGGCAAUCUGCCCUUGAGUGGGGAAUAACCCGCCGAAAGGCGGGCUAAUACCGCAUGACAUUCCACGGUCUUCGGAUUGUGGACUCAAAGUCCACGCUUAAGGAGGAGCCCGCGGCCGAUUAGCUAGUUGGUGAGGUCACGGCUCACCAAGGCUAUGACGGGUAGCUGGUCUGAGAGGACGACCAGCCACACGGGGACUGAGACACGGCCCCGACUCCUACGGGAGGCAGCAGUGGGGAAUUUUCCGCAAUGGGCGAAAGCCUGACGGAGUGACGCCGCGUGGGGGACGAAGGCCUUCGGGUCGUAAACCCCUGUCAGAGGGAAAGAAGGGUCACGCGGUGAAUACCCGCGUGAUCUGACGGUACCUUCAGAGGAAGCCCCGGCCAACUCUGUGCCAGCAGCCGCGGUAAGACAGAGGGGGCAAGCGUUGCUCGGAAUCACUGGGCGUAAAGGGCGCGUAGGCGGGAUGGCAAGUCGGUCGUGAAAUCCCUCGGCUCAACCGAGGAGCGUCGGCCGAUACUGCCGUUCUUGAGGGAUGCAGAGGAGACUGGAAUUCCCGGUGUAGCGGUGAAAUGUGUAGAGAUCGGGAGGAACACCGGUGGCGAAGGCGGGUCUCUGGGCAUCUCC